Molecule: long non-coding RNA, 4209 nt
Filed under: Nicotiana benthamiana
Lineage: Eukaryota; Viridiplantae; Streptophyta; Magnoliopsida; Solanales; Solanaceae
Description: long non-coding RNA (NBEN_LNC027661)
Source: RNAcentral
AGAGGAGGUAAAGAGAGUCUUGUUUGAAGACAUAAAUAGAGGUCAUUGACAUUAAAAAAAGGAGGAGAAUUUUCGGAAGGAUAAAAAUUUUCAGAACUUAAGAGUAAAAGGCUGGUCUUUUCUUUACUGUUGAAUAUUAGAACUAGUAAUGUUACUACUUCACUGGUAGUUGCUAGAUUUUCUGCUUGGUUCUUAAAACUAUUCCUGGGGUCUUCCUGCACGGUUUUUUACGGGUUUACUGAUUUGGUUGUUGAACCUGUUGUUGCUGUGUUGUGCUACUGCUGCACCACUGACUUCUUCCUCUUCUUUGCUUUCUAAAUACAAGGUACACGACUGUAACCCUCGCUAUUGUAAGCCGAAAAAAUGUAGAAGCAUGAAUACAUAUAAAAAUGGAAGUUUGAAGUUUUGAUUUAACUUUUCUNNNNNNNNNNNNNNNNNNNNNNNNNNNNNNNNNNNNNNNNNNNNNNNNNNNNNNNNNNNNNNNNNNNNNNNNNNNNNNNNNNNNNNNNNNNNNNNNNNNNNNNNNNNNNNNNNNNNNNNNNNNUAGAUUUCUGCCAGCUUUGUAUAGCUGGACUGUAUUCAGUUUGAUUUGGAUUAAUUGAAGUUAUAAUUAUAAUGAACUAUUAGGAUGUAGUUACCAGCUAUAGUAAUAUUCACUUGUAAAAUAAGGCACGAAACAAUACUCAAUUUUUACGAGCUCGAGUGCAAUUUUCGUUCGCAUUAAUCUAAUAACUAAUAAGAGGCCCGAACUUGCCAAGCAUCUAAAUUAAUUAGGAUUUUUCUUUUUUUUAAUUUAGAGACGAACUAAAUAGAAAAAAUAUAGUCAAUUUAGGAAUGUCCUUUAAAAACUAAAUAAGGCGUACCUCGCCAAUAAUAGUUGUAAAUUGUGGGGCCCUCAUACUUGUUUAAUAAAAAUUAUUUAGACUGUGGGACAUGCCGUUUAGCGAAUUCCACGGCUUUCUCAAAAUAGUAAUGCGUUAAUAUGUUUAGGCACGUAUUUAAUAAUGUUAUCUUCCCUAAACUCGUGUACACAUUUAUGUUACCCAAAUCCAAAUUCCAACGAAGUCGGAACAUAUUAAAAACUGCAUAUAUAUUUAUGUGACGCGGUUCGAGAUAUAUUCUCACGACGUUGUAAUUCUUUUAAAAAAUAAAUUAAAAAUAAAUAAUGAUAAAAACGUCUAAAAUUUAAAUUUGCAUGAGUUCAUAAUUUUAAUAAAAUCAGAUAAAUAAGUCGAAUAUGACAGCUCUGGCAACUCUGUUGGGAAAACAUAUCCUAGAACCACUGGUUCAGGGUUAGAAUUUCGAGCUUAGAAUAAUUGUUGUAUUUGGCUUUCUCUAUUAUCUGAUGUUUAUUACAUUUUAUACUGGGGAAAAUAUGACCCAAAAUAUCUGGUUCAGGGUUAGAAAAUCGAGCUUAGAAUAAUUAUUGUAUUUGACUUUCUCUAUUAUCUGAUGUUUAUUACACUUUAUUUUAGAUUUAAUGUGCAAAUUGUUGCUUAUUACCGCUUUGAUAUUAUUUGAACUGUGUAUAUAAAGUGCUGUGAAACCCUACUUCUUUCUGAGUCUUCUGAAAAUGGUGCAUACGUUCGCGUAGCCCGCCUUUUGAAAAAUUAUUCCAAAUAGAGCGAGUGUAGGGCAAGCGACAAGGUCGGGCAGACUUUAGUGCUCCCGUUACGUUACCCCCUCCUCAGCCCUAGUUGUCUGCUCGGGUUCCCCAACUCUAUACCAAAACCCAUGUUUUUCUUUUACCUAGUAAAACACGGCUUCAUGCCGGAUCCCUAGUAGGAAGGCUUAUACCCCCUCGUCAGCCCCAGUUGUCCGCUCGGGUUUUCCAACUCUAGACCAAAACCCAAGUUUUUCUUCUACAUAGUAAAACAUAGCUUCAUGUCGGAUCCCUAGUAGGAACGUUUAUUUACAUCAUGUGCAUUUGACUUAAGGGACUCAACACAGGGAUUGGGUCCAUCUAGGACAAGCAACCUGAAGUAAAAAAAUCAUCCUGCUGCAUCCUGUCUGUUUUAUGCAUUUAUUUACUUCGAACUGACAUGCUGACCGGAUUUGAAUACUGGAAAAUUGUAAAAAAAUGGAAAAAAAAAAACUAGCAGUGUAGAGUGUUCGUUACAUAUUUUUAGAAAAUCAAUUUCCAAAUAGUGGCGGAACUCUACCAAAAUUUUGGAAAAAAUGAAGAAAAAAAGAGAGUUGUUUUUAGUUUGAUUUAUUUGAAAAAAAAAAGUAAAAAAAAAAAUAAAAGAAUCCUUAUUUUCGGAUUUUCUUGUUUUCUACAUAGUUUAUUUGCCAACGGAAAAAAAAAAGAUUGUUUUACUGAAAAAAAAAAGAAUCUUUAUUUUUAGCUUGAAAAAAUAGGUUGAUUUGUUAUUUGGUGAAAAAGAAAAAGAGUUUUUGUUUUUAGUUUGGGAAAAAUAGGUUGUUUUAGUUUUGUUAAAAAUGAAAAGAAAAAAGAGUCAUUAUUUUGUCUUGUUUAAAAAAAGUUUAAUUUGUUUUGCCAUGAAAAAUAAAAAUGAAAAGAGUUGUGCUUUGAAAAUAAUUUUGUUAUUUGUUGCCAAAAAUGAAAAAAAAGAAUCAUGUUUUAAAAUAGUUCAGUUUAUUGGGCGAACUACGCCGGUUUGAUUCUCACAGGGUGUGAGAUACAUAGGCAACCCUCAUCGGGUCAAACCUACCCUUUGCAAAAAAUAGAAAAAAAUAUCAAAGUUUUUAUUUUCAUCAUAAAUAAGUCGGGUAAUGAUGUUUUUAUCAAAAAUAGCCAAAUGUUCUCGAAUGGGGCGCCGGAAGGUUAACUUUGUAUAAACAACCACCUUUGGGUCAUGUUUUUAGAUUUUGGCCAGCUGACCCACACAUCCUUAAAAUCUUUGCCCCGGAGUGCUGAAAGGUUGUCUUUGCAAAACUUGGCCUUUUAUUUUAAUUUGAAAAAAAGAGUUAGUAUGCAAGUGAUUGCCGUUCAAAUUUCUAGUAAAAAAUAAGCCGAGCCAGCUUCGGCUAUGUAUUAAACCGUUCUUACCGAGAUAGACUUAGAGUAUCUUUCAUUUGUCGAAAGGCUAUUUUCGUAAAAGAAUAGACAAGUUUGUAGAGUGUCGUGAAAUAAUUUUUCCGGCCUCAAAAUUCAUGUGAAUUGAGAGAGGGCCACGUUGCAGAAAUAGCCAUUUGGCUGAAAGUGGCAAAUAGGGAAAUGAAUCUAUCAGCUUGUUUUUGAGUUUGUAAUUCUUUUGAUAGAAUAUGUGGGUUGUUUCAUUUUCGAGUCCGUAUGUUAUCUUUUCGUCAAAUUUUGAUAGUUCGGUAUGUUUUUAAACCAUUGUAAUUAAAGUUGGUUUUAUUAUGAAAGUUGAAAAUUCCAAAAAAUGUUUUAUUGUUGUUUACUUUUUAUUGUUCUGAACUACGCAAGGACUGAUUCAAGCGGGGUCAUGAUACGUAAGAAAUCUCCAUAAGAUUCGACAACAACAAAAAUGAAAAAAAAAACCAAAAAAAUAGGAAAAUGAAAAAAGAAGGCAAAAGAUGUUGUAAUAAUAAGGACAUACUAAGUCCAUUCUAAUAUGUUUUGUCGAAAAAAUAAAAAAAACGUGGAAACGAAAGAAACAAAAGAUUUUGUUAAUAAUGAGGACCGACUAAGUCCAUUCUAACAUGUUUUGUUUUGAAUUUUGAGAAAGUUGGGGUGAUCGGUUUGUGGUAAGCUGGAAGCACAAGAUCCAGAAAAAUUUGAUUCAAGACAGUGACACCCAGAAUAUCACGUUGAAUCCUUUACAUACACAUGAUGAUGCACACUUUGUGAGGAUAAUGCCCGAUGACAUGGGUUAUGAGAAUCCUCUUAUUUGUGGUAAGCUUGAAUCACAAGAUCCAGGAAAAUUUGAUUCACGACAGUGACACCCAUAAUAUCACGCUGAAUCUUUUACAUAAAUAAGAUGAUGCACACUUUCUGGGAAUGAUGCCCGAUGAAUAUGGAUGCGAAACUCAAUGGCUAAAAAUGCUUGUUAAUUGGAAAGACGCUCCAUGUCUGGGUCAGCUGGAAGGAAUCUUGGUAGUGGGCUCUGAUUUUCCUUCUUGUUUUCUGGAUCAUUCCGCGGUUUUAAUCCGGCUUCUUUUAUUUUUUCCUUGUAAAAGGAUGAAACCUUGUUUCCCGUAAUUCAAUAAAAAUGAAAAAAAAAUUCUUCUUCACUUUUACUUUAGUUUAAUUUUGUCUUCUUGUUUUCUCUUUAUGAACAG